GAUGAAGAACGUAGCGAAAUGCGAUAAGUAAUGUGAAUUGCAGAAUUCAGUGAAUCAUCGAAUCUUUGAACGCACAUUGCGCCCCUCGGUAUUCCGAGGGGCAUGCCUGUUCGAGCGUCAUUAUAACCCUUCAAGCUCAGCUUGGUGUUGGGGCCUGCUGUAACUGGUAGCCCUUAAAAUCAGUAGCAGUGCUAUUAGGCUCUAAGCGUAGUAAUUCUUCUCGCUAUAGUGUGUAGUGAGCGCUUGCCAGAACCCCAAACUUUUAUAUGAUUGACCUCGGAUCAGGUAGGGAUACCCGCUGAACUUAAGCAUAUCAAUAAGCGGAGGA
This 328-nucleotide unclassified non-coding RNA is filed under the name soil metagenome. RNAcentral's name for it is "partial contains 5.8S ribosomal RNA, internal transcribed spacer 2, and large subunit ribosomal RNA". The stretch from base 1 to 120 matches the Rfam family "5.8S ribosomal RNA", at positions 35 to 154 of the family's 154-position model. The record is from RNAcentral.